RNAcentral lists this unclassified non-coding RNA (350 nucleotides) under soil metagenome. Its description in RNAcentral is "partial contains 5.8S ribosomal RNA, internal transcribed spacer 2, and large subunit ribosomal RNA". The stretch from base 1 to 120 matches the Rfam family "5.8S ribosomal RNA", at positions 35 to 154 of the family's 154-position model. The record is from RNAcentral.
GACGAAGAACGCAGCGAACUGCGAUAAGUAAUGUGAAUUGCAGAAUUCAGUGAAUCAUCGAGUCUUUGAACGCACAUUGCGCCCCCUGGCAUUCCGGGGGGCAUGCCUGUCCGAGCGUCAUUGCUGCCCUUCAAGCCCGGCUUGUGUGUUGGGUCGUCGUCCCCCCCGGGGGACGGGCCCGAAAGGCAGCGGCGGCACCGCGUCCGGUCCUCGAGCGUAUGGGGCUUUGUCACCCGCUCGAUUAGGGCCGGCCGGGCGCCAGCCGGCGUCUCCAACCUUCUAUUUUACCAGGUUGACCUCGGAUCAGGUAGGGAUACCCGCUGAACUUAAGCAUAUCAAUAAGCGGAGGA